Molecule: transfer RNA, 87 nt
Filed under: Ignavibacteriales bacterium
Lineage: Bacteria; Pseudomonadati; Ignavibacteriota; Ignavibacteria; Ignavibacteriales
Description: tRNA-Ser
Rfam family: tRNA
About the family: Transfer RNA (tRNA) molecules are approximately 80 nucleotides in length. Their secondary structure includes four short double-helical elements and three loops (D, anti-codon, and T loops). Further hydrogen bonds mediate the characteristic L-shaped molecular structure. tRNAs have two regions of fundamental functional importance: the anti-codon, which is responsible for specific mRNA codon recognition, and the 3' end, to which the tRNAs corresponding amino acid is attached (by aminoacyl-tRNA synthetases). tRNAs cope with the degeneracy of the genetic code in two manners: having more than one tRNA (with a specific anti-codon) for a particular amino acid; and 'wobble' base-pairing, i.e. permitting non-standard base-pairing at the 3rd anti-codon position.
Source: RNAcentral
GGAAGGGUGCGAGAGUGGUUGAAUCGACCGGUCUCGAAAACCGGAAUGGCCGCAAGGCCAUCGUGGGUUCGAAUCCCACCCCUUCCG